CCUACGGGGCGCUGCAGUGGGGAAUAUUGGACAAUGGGCGAAAGCCUGAUCCAGCCAUGCCGCGUGUGUGAAGAAGGCCUUCGGGUUGUAAAGCACUUUCAGUGGGGAAGAAAGCCUUGGGGCUAAUACCCUCGAGGAAGGACAUCACCCACAGAAGAAGCACCGGCUAACUCCGUGCCAGCAGCCGCGGUAAUACGGAGGGUGCGAGCGUUAAUCGGAAUGACUGGGCGUAAAGCGCGCGUAGGCGGUCUGAUAAGCCGUGUUGUGAAAGCCCCGGGCUCAACCUGGGAACGGCAUCCGGAACUGUCAGGCUAGAGUGCAGGAGAGGAAGGUAGAAUUCCCGGUGUAGCGGUGAGAUGCGUAGAGAUCGGGAGGAAUACCAGCGGCGAAGGCGGCCUUCUGGACUGACACUGACGCUGAGGUGCGAAAGCGUGGGUAGCGAACAGGAUUAGAUACCCCUGUAGUC
This 466-nucleotide ribosomal RNA is filed under the name Vreelandella stevensii. Its description in RNAcentral is "partial 16S ribosomal RNA". It matches the Rfam family "Bacterial small subunit ribosomal RNA", at positions 338 to 795 of the family's 1533-position model. Lineage: Bacteria; Pseudomonadati; Pseudomonadota; Gammaproteobacteria; Oceanospirillales; Halomonadaceae. The record is from RNAcentral.